UGGCGAACGGGUGAGUAACACGUGGGUAACCUGCCCUUGGCUUUGGGAUAAGCCCUGGAAACGGGGUCUAAUACCGGAUAUGACUACUUCACGCAUGUGGGGUGGUGGAAAGUUCCGGCGGCCAGGGAUGGGCCCGCGGCCUAUCAGCUUGUUGGUGGGGUGAUGGCCUACCAAGGCGACGACGGGUAGCCGGCCUGAGAGGGCGACCGGCCACACUGGGACUGAGACACGGCCCAGACUCCUACGGGAGGCAGCAGUGGGGAAUAUUGCACAAUGGGCGAAAGCCUGAUGCAGCGACGCCGCGUGAGGGAUGACGGCCUUCGGGUUGUAAACCUCUUUCGACAGGGACGAAGCGAAAGUGACGGUACCUGUAGAAGAAGCACCGGCUAACUACGUGCCAGCAGCCGCGGUAAUACGUAGGGUGCGAGCGUUGUCCGGAAUUAUUGGGCGUAAAGAGCUCGUAGGCGGUUUGUCGCGUCGACUGUGAAAACCUGGGGCUUAACUCUGGGCCUGCAGUCGAUACGGGCAGACUUGAGUUCGGUAGGGGAGACUGGAAUUCCUGGUGUAGCGGUGAAAUGCGCAGAUAUCAGGAGGAACACCGGUGGCGAAGGCGGGUCUC
RNAcentral lists this ribosomal RNA (619 nucleotides) under Actinophytocola sp. I12A-02015. RNAcentral's name for it is "bacterial SSU rRNA". It matches the Rfam family "Bacterial small subunit ribosomal RNA", at positions 96 to 729 of the family's 1533-position model. Lineage: Bacteria; Bacillati; Actinomycetota; Actinomycetes; Pseudonocardiales; Pseudonocardiaceae. The record is from RNAcentral.